GCCGAUGUGGUGAAAUGGCAGACACGGUAGACUCAAAAUCUACUGUCCGUGAGGAUGUGUCGGUUCAAGUCCGACCAUCGGCA
RNAcentral lists this transfer RNA (83 nucleotides) under Treponema sp. RNAcentral describes it as "tRNA-Leu". It matches the Rfam family "tRNA". From Rfam's summary of the family: Transfer RNA (tRNA) molecules are approximately 80 nucleotides in length. Their secondary structure includes four short double-helical elements and three loops (D, anti-codon, and T loops). The record is from RNAcentral. Lineage: Bacteria; Pseudomonadati; Spirochaetota; Spirochaetia; Treponematales; Treponemataceae.